RNAcentral lists this ribosomal RNA (239 nucleotides) under uncultured bacterium. RNAcentral describes it as "partial 16S ribosomal RNA". It matches the Rfam family "Bacterial small subunit ribosomal RNA", at positions 92 to 334 of the family's 1533-position model. The record is from RNAcentral.
CGAGUGGCGGACGGGUGAGUAAUGUGUAGGGAAUCGCCCGAUGGAGGGGGGUAACUACUGGAAACGGUAGCUAAUACCGCAUAACGUCGCAAGACCAAAGAGGGGGACCUUCGGGCCUCUUGCCAUCGGAUGUGCCCAGAUGGGAUUAGCUAGUAGGUGGGGUAACGGCUCACCUAGGCGACGAUCCCUAGCUGGUCUGAGAGGAUGACCAGCCACACUGGAACUGAGACACGGUCCAG